AGCUCCGGUGGCCUAGUAGUUUUAGCAUCCGCUUCGGAAGCGAGGGGGGGGGGUGCUGGUUCGAACCCAGACCGAGUUC
Non-coding RNA from Potamilus streckersoni, 79 nucleotides. Lineage: Eukaryota; Metazoa; Mollusca; Bivalvia; Unionida; Unionidae. The record is from the annotation of a GenBank genome assembly.